RNAcentral lists this ribosomal RNA (414 nucleotides) under uncultured microorganism. Its description in RNAcentral is "bacterial SSU rRNA". It matches the Rfam family "Archaeal small subunit ribosomal RNA", at positions 330 to 745 of the family's 1478-position model. The record is from RNAcentral.
GUGCAGCAGGCGAGAAUCCUUCGCAAUGCGGGAAACCGCGACGAGGGGACUCCCAGUGCCUACGCUCAGCGUAGGCUGUUCCCGAGCCUAGAAAGCUCGGGGAGUAAGGGCUGGGUAAGACGGGUGCCAGCCGCCGCGGUAAUACCCGCAGCCCGAGUGGUGGCCACUAUUAUUGGGCCUAAAGCGUCCGUAGCCGGCCCGGUAAAUGCCUGGGUAAAUCGUGAGGCCUAACCUCACGAAUUCCGGGUAGACUGCCGGGCUAGGGACCGGAGGAGGGAGAGGGGUACUCCAGGGGUAGGGGUGAAAUCCUGUAAUCCCUGGAGGACCACCGGUGGCGAAGGCGCUCUCCUAGGACGGGUCCGACGGUGAGGGACGAAAGCCAGGGGAGCGAACCGGAUUAGAUACCCGUGUAGU